Molecule: long non-coding RNA, 4136 nt
Filed under: Gallus gallus (chicken)
Lineage: Eukaryota; Metazoa; Chordata; Aves; Galliformes; Phasianidae
Source: RNAcentral
GGGGCAAUCACGUGGAAUGCCAAAAAAAGAAACCUUUGUGCUGAGGUGAAGGGAUCGGAGCCCAGGCUGCAGCGGGCGGCUGCAGUGUUUCCUGCAAAAGCCCACUGAGAGCUCACGCUGUGACACAGCUGGAAAAACAUGUUCCCAGCCUGCACGCAGAAGCAAAGAGACAAUGGUGGCCCCGGAUGCCUACCAGUAGUUACGCUGUAACAGUGUCAAAGGUUAAGGCAGAUUUUCUGCAGAUCAUGUAAAGAACUGUACUACAGUUACUAGAGGGUGACAGUAAGUAAUUCAGUAGGAGAAAAAAACCACCUGCUCCAUCUGUCAACUGAGGACUGCAUACAAAGAAGCCUGAGAAAACUUCCCAACAAGAAAAUACAGAAUUAAACAAUGGACCAAAAAAGCAGUAAGGAUGGGAGACAUCCAAUACAAAACAGACACACACACCCCCUCUCUCACAUGUAGGCCCCUGAAAGUGGGAUCACAGUGAUAAAAGUUAGAGAUCAUAGAGCGGUAAGUUACACUGUCACUAAAAAGAAAGUAACGUCUUGCUUACAGGAAAUAUCUGGUAUUCCCCAGGACUGUUAGUGCCUGAACAAAGAUGAGGUUUUUCAUUGUGCUCUGCAACACAGCUGAUUGUAGGUCUUAAGCUUGGCUGUAAGGAAGAACUGUUACAUAGAGGAGUUACCUUUUCCGUUGACAUUUUUUACCCCAUGUAUUCUUGUCAUACUGCUAUAGCAGUAAAAAACGCAACUUGUUGAAAAAAAGCUCUACAUUCAAGUGACUUAUUCUCCUGUGUCUUAUCAAAAUGUAAAGAAUGCUCUCUGGUCACCUAAGACAAUGUUUUAGAUGCCUUACAGCAAUACUUAACUAUCUUUCCGUAUGAGAGGUAGGCUUCUGGGUUCUCGGAGGCCUGCCACAUCUAGGGCUGAGUUCUUAAAGCUUUAAGUUAAAGCAAUCCAAAGCAGGGCAGUCUUGCAAGUGCCCUGUCUAAAUCUUGAGGUUUGUUCAAGUUCAGAAUGUUGCAAAGCAAAACAAGUAUUAAAAUUAAUUUGUAGGUUUUGUUCUUAUAGCUUUACCACAAGAACAGUGUGGCUUUUCAUAAAUACCUUUAAAUAGAUUCUCUUUUGUAGAGUAUUGCUGCCAAGAGGUGAAGGCCUCCUACCCAUGUCCAGUAAAAACUGUCACUUUUGUUUCUGUUAUGGCUGUUUUAUGCUUAAAAUUCCCAAAGGUGAACACUACGUCUUACAGGCAAGCCGUAUAAAUACAAAUCUGAACUUGCUUUCUUGUAGCAGUUAUUUAAGAAUGAUAUUUGUAUAUAUAUGCCCACACUACAAACUUUUAUAAAUCAUUUUACAUUGGUACCAUUUUGUCUUAACUGCAACCAAGAACAUAUUCCACUAGAUCAGCAAUAAGCGUAGCCUGGCUUAUUCCCCAUUUCCCCUCCCCUUGAGAAAAAUCCUCAUGUGGGUAUCAUCCAAACCAAUGGUAUGUUGCUAACUGAAAUGCAUUCUGUACAGUAAAUUAAAAGUUUGCAUGCAGUUUAAGCAUUGUAAAGGCUAUUUUCUUAUAUUAACCUUCUGUUUCCAUUUAAAGGUGUGAAAGACAUCUGUCAUAUCAGGGGACUCUCCUCUUCAGACCCAGAGUCAAAUGGAAUUAUGAAGACCAGAUACUUUCUUGCAGCUUCCUGCACAUCUUACUAAAUAACAUGCAAAGAGUUCAACAGCAUUCUUCUUAAAAUGUAAAUAGUACUCUUUAAAUGGGCAUGUUAACCACUGAAAGAAGUCCACUCUACUAUACUCCUCCAUUACACUGCUUUCAUUCAGUCAUCGGUAGUAUAAAAAGUCAAUUAACGGGAUUAACAGGCUAGUUUAUCCACUGGCAAUUGCGUAUGACACCAAGUGUGCAGUAAAACAAAGGCCAACAUAUGUUUACGCAAUAUAGUUGUACUGAUUUGGGUUUUCUUUAUCUCUUUCCAUGUAGUCUCUGUCAAUUAAGGAUUCUAUUCUCUUCUUAAGGUCAGCAGGCUGUAAAUUAAAGCAGAUGUCAGCAUUAUUAUUUUGUAGUCGACGCUUCUCAAUCCUACCUAAGCCAAAUAUCCAUACUGCUUGAGAUGACUGAUGAACCAUAUUAUAACUUACAUCUCUCAACACAUCAAAGCUUCUUAAACUUGCAGUGUGCAAUUAAAGAGAAAGUUACAAGAUUAGACAGAAUGCACCAUAUAUCUGAGCUCAGAUGUUAUCACAGAAUCACAGAAUCUAUGUUAUCUAAGCUAUGUCACUGUCUUUUGGAAAAUCAGUUUGCACUUGUACACAGUAAGCUAUUCUUUCUCAUAUUGCAUCUGUUACUACUAACAAACUCCCAGUUCUGAAAACCUUUACUAUGUUGUACUAAUGAAGAGGUUAACAUUCAGAUAAACUAAUGAAACCGACACUUUAAAAAAUCCUGAAAUUACGUACUUUUUGUUCCUUCUAUCAGGAAAGGGAACACAUGUUUCAGAUAGAAGCACUGUUUAACUGAGAACAGGUCAAGGAAUGUGAAGAGAGGUAAUACAUUUUGAAAACAAAAGAAAUCAGUACUACACCUUUACUGGGAAUUUAAGCUGGUUGUAGACCUCUGACACAAGCAAGUUAUGACUCAGUGUUUUUCGCAUCUUCAUAAUUCGAACAAUAGCGGCAUCAAUCUGGUAUUGCCGGUCCUGGAAUACUCUCUCUGUAGUGCUUGCCUGUUCCUCUACCUGAUGGAUCCAUUUAAAAAGAGUUUUAAAGAGAACAUCAGAACUGUUGAAUCCAUUCUUCUUCAUAUCUAAGACAAGUCUUAUUGUGAGACACUAAAAGGUCUACUGUAAAAUACUGGACAUAAAUCCUACAAAAUAUGGAAGUCCACUGUCUUAAGAACUUGUACUCAAGAGCAAAAUCUUUGCACAACUUUUACAUUGGUUGGCAAAUUCACAGUGAAUUUGUUUCUAUGUUCACAAAUCAGUAAAGGUCUAGGGAAUGAUUAAGGGUGAACAGAACAUUCAUACUUGGAACCUCUGCUAAUCAACCUUAGAGAUGUCAAGGAUGAUCGAUAUCUAAGUUAGCACAGAAGCUCACGUUUAAAUCUCCACUAUUAAGUGGAGAUAUCAUCCAAAGAGAUAUCAUCCAAAAUACAUGUGCAUCCUUCACACAGAUACCAUUAUGUACAUUACAACCGAGAGGAAUAAAGCUUGUAAAUGGGCAAGCAAUGAGAUACUUAACCCAAGAAUAAAAAACCUAGAGUAUUAGAAAAAACAACAAAAAAUAUACCGUUUCUUUCAUCUGAAUUUGGUUGAUUUUUAUCCUGAACAGCUUAUGUCUGAAAUCAUCAUUGCAUGUGAAUUUAUCACCAUCUUCCACAUCUUUUCCUUUGGGGCUCUUUGUCAGUACUCUAGCUUUGCCACAAGCCAGAGACUGAAGUGUCCUUCGCAGCUCUCCAUCCUCUAAAGCAGAAACAAGUUGUUCAGUAUUUUCACUCAAGAGCACACUUGAAGCAGUCAGUGUUUUUAGUACCAACCUAUCCCAGUGGCUUGCUUUAUCUCCUCUAGACUGAACUCCUCUCCUUCAUUAAACAUGAGCAGCACUAGUGUCUGGAACAAGGAGACCUGAAGUUCUUUUUUGCCCUAUCACAGAGGAAAUAACAGACAUCAUUAGGUUGUUCUCAGGGGGGAUCAACUCACUCUUCCAUGUAAAUUAUUUCACUUACAGGAUGCAGUUGUUCCUUAUUCAUUUUAGAAUAUGAAAGAAUAAAAGUUAUUGUUCUCCUCAUGUUUACUAUGAAAUGCAGAGCAAGACAGAGGUCAGAUUAGACUACCAUACCCACUGACAAAAUUUGCUAAUGUAUGUAUCAAAUUUAGACACAUUCAAAUCCAAAGCGUGCUUAAAAUUACAAUUUGAAAGACCUUUAAUCCAAACUGUAAGACGAGCAUUAGUCUAAAAACAUAGUUGCUAUUACUAUCUCUUUAAUAACUAAGUUGGAUAACACUUGUUUUAUCAUUAACAUUAUGAAAAACAAAACUUAGUAAACAUUCCCAGCUUUCAAGGGAAAUCAUCACAAGAUAUAUUCAUGCCCACGAAGAAAUGAUAAAGGGAAAUACUGGGAAACUCUCUAAAAACUGC